This 395-nucleotide unclassified non-coding RNA is filed under the name uncultured Orbiliales. RNAcentral's name for it is "sequence contains ITS1". The stretch from base 1 to 105 matches the Rfam family "5.8S ribosomal RNA", at positions 50 to 154 of the family's 154-position model. The record is from RNAcentral. Lineage: Eukaryota; Fungi; Ascomycota; Orbiliomycetes; Orbiliales.
GAAACGCGAUAGUUAAUGUGAAUUGCAGAAUUCAGUGAAUCAUCGAGUCUUUGAACGCACAUUGCGCCUUUUGGUAUUCCGAGAGGCACGCCUGUCUGAGCGUCAGUAAACAUCUUCGGCAGCGAUUUAUUUUGCAGCCGGUGUUGGCGGUCGGUGGCACUUCGCGUGCCAUGGUACCUUGUGGACGUUUCAACGUCCUGGCUGCCCCUAGCAGCGGCCACGGUACCCCGCCUAAAUACCGUAUAGCCGGGGGGAAGUUGCUCCCAAUACCGACGAUAAUAGUUAAUAUCUUCGUCCACGGGAAGCCACUAGCCUGGAAAGCUAUUAAAAAUUAAGGGGGAAGCCCCCCUUCUUUUUUUGACCUCAGAUCAGACGAGGAUACCCGCUGAACUUAA